AUCUGGAAAGAUGAAUCAAAGAAGGUAAUAAUCCUGUAGUCGAAAAUGUUGUCUCUCUUGAGUGGAUCCUGAGUACGACGGAGCACGUGAAAUUCCGUCGGAAUCUGGGAGGACCAUCUCCUAAGGCUAAAUACUCUCUAGUGACCGAUAGUGAACCAGUACCGUGAGGGAAAGGUGAAAAGCACCCCGGAAGGGGAGUGAAAUAGAACCUGAAACCGUGUGCUUACAAGUAGUCAGAGCCCGUUAAUGGGUGAUGGCGUGCCUUUUGUAGAAUGAACCGGCGAGUUACGAUUUGAUGCAAGGUUAAGCAGUAAAUGUGGAGCCGUAGCGAAAGCGAGUCUGAAUAGGGCGUUUAGUAUUUGGUCGUAGACCCGAAACCAGGUGAUCUACCCUUGGUCAGGUUGAAGUUCAGGUAACACUGAAUGGAGGACCGAACCGACUUACGUUGAAAAGUGAGCGGAUGAACUGAGGGUAGCGGAGAAAUUCCAAUCGAACCUGGAGAUAGCUGGUUCUCUCCGAAAUAGCUUUAGGGCUAGCCUCAAGUGAUGAUUAUUGGAGGUAGAGCACUGUUUGGACGAGGGGCCCCUCUCGGGUUACCGAAUUCAGACAAACUCCGAAUGCCAAUUAAUUUAACUUGGGAGUCAGAACAUGGGUGAUAAGGUCCGUGUUCGAAAGGGAAACAGCCCAGACCACCAGCUAAGGUCCCAAAAUAUAUGUUAAGUGGAAAAGGAUGUGGCGUUGCCCAGACAACUAGGAUGUUGGCUUAGAAGCAGCCAUCAUUUAAAGAGUGCGUAAUAGCUCACUAGUCGAGUGACACUGCGCCGAAAAUGUACCGGGGCUAAACAUAUUACCGAAGCUGUGGAUUGUCCUUUGGACAAUGGUAGGAGAGCGUUCUAAGGGCGUUGAAGCAUGAUCGUAAGGACAUGUGGAGCGCUUAGAAGUGAGAAUGCCGGUGUGAGUAGCGAAAGACGGGUGAGAAUCCCGUCCACCGAUUGACUAAGGUUUCCAGAGGAAGGCUCGUCCGCUCUGGGUUAGUCGGGUCCUAAGCUGAGGCCGACAGGCGUAGGCGAUGGAUAACAGGUUGAUAUUCCUGUACCACCUAUAAUCGUUUUAAUCGAUGGGGGGACGCAGUAGGAUAGGCGAAGCGUGCGAUUGGAUUGCACGUCUAAGCAGUAAGGCUGAGUAUUAGGCAAAUCCGGUACUCGUUAAGGCUGAGCUGUGAUGGGGAGAAGACAUUGAGUCUUCGAGUCGUUGAUUUCACACUGCCGAGAAAAGCCUCUAGAUAGAAAAUAGGUGCCCGUACCGCAAACCGACACAGGUAGUCAAGAUGAGAAUUCUAAGGUGAGCGAGCGAACUCUCGUUAAGGAACUCGGCAAAAUGACCCCGUAACUUCGGGAGAAGGGGUGCUCUUUAGGGUUAACGCCCAGAAGAGCCGCAGUGAAUAGGCCCAAGCGACUGUUUAUCAAAAACACAGGUCUCUGCUAAACCGUAAGGUGAUGUAUAGGGGCUGACGCCUGCCCGGUGCUGGAAGGUUAAGAGGAGUGGUUAGCUUCUGCGAAGCUACGAAUCGAAGCCCCAGUAAACGGCGGCCGUAACUAUAACGGUCCUAAGGUAGCGAAAUUCCUUGUCGGGUAAGUUCCGACCCGCACGAAAGGCGUAACGAUUUGGGCACUGUCUCAACGAGAGACUCGGUGAAAUCAUAGUACCUGUGAAGAUGCAGGUUACCCGCGACAGGACGGAAAGACCCCGUGGAGCUUUACUGUAGCCUGAUAUUGAAAUUCGGCACAGCUUGUACAGGAUAGGUAGGAGCCUUUGAAACGUGAGCGCUAGCUUACGUGGAGGCGCUGGUGGGAUACUACCCUAGCUGUGUUGGCUUUCUAACCCGCACCACUUAUCGUGGUGGGAGACAGUGUCAAGCGGGCAGUUUGACUGGGGCGGUCGCCUCCUAAAAGGUAACGGAGGCGCUCAAAGGUUCCCUCAGAAUGGUUGGAAAUCAUUCAUAGAGUGUAAAGGCAUAAGGGAGCUUGACUGCGAGACCUACAAGUCGAGCAGGGUCGAAAGACGGACUUAGUGAUCCGGUGGUUCCGCAUGGAAGGGCCAUCGCUCAACGGAUAAAAGCUACCCCGGGGAUAACAGGCUUAUCUCCCCCAAGAGUUCACAUCGACGGGGAGGUUUGGCACCUCGAUGUCGGCUCAUCGCAUCCUGGGGCUGUAGUCGGUCCCAAGGGUUGGGCUGUUCGCCCAUUAAAGCGGUACGCGAGCUGGGUUCAGAACGUCGUGAGACAGUUCGGUCCCUAUCCGUCGUGGGCAUAGGAAAUUUGAGAGGAGCUGUCCUUAGUACGAGAGGACCGGGAUGGACAUACCUCUGGUGUACCAGUUGUCGUGCCAACGGCAUAGCUGGGUAGCUAUGUGUGGACGGGAUAAGUGCUGAAAGCAUCUAAGCAUGAAGCCCCCCUCAAGAUGAGAUUUCCCAACUUCGGUUAUAAGAUCCCUCAAAGAUGAUGAGGUUAAUAGGUUCGAGGUGGAAGCAUGGUGACAUGUGGAGCUGACGAAUACUAAUCGAUCGAAGACUUAAUCAA
Molecule: ribosomal RNA, 2578 nt
Filed under: Staphylococcus aureus DAR3868
Lineage: Bacteria; Bacillati; Bacillota; Bacilli; Caryophanales; Staphylococcaceae
Description: bacterial LSU rRNA
Rfam family: Bacterial large subunit ribosomal RNA
Source: RNAcentral